RNAcentral lists this ribosomal RNA (253 nucleotides) under uncultured bacterium. RNAcentral's name for it is "partial 16S ribosomal RNA". It matches the Rfam family "Bacterial small subunit ribosomal RNA", at positions 524 to 776 of the family's 1533-position model. The record is from RNAcentral.
UACGGAGGGUGCAAACGUUGCUCGGAAUCAUUGGGCGUAAAGCGCACGUAGGCGGUCCGUUAAGUCGGGAGUGAAAGCCCUCGGCUCAACCGAGGAAGUGCUUUCGAAACUGGCGGACUUGAAUACUGGAGAGGAUCGCGGAAUUCCCGGUGUAGAGGUGAAAUUCGUAGAUAUCGGGAGGAACACCGGUGGCGAAGGCGGCCUUCUGGACGGAUACUGACGCUGAGACGCGAAAGCGUGGGGAGCAAACAGG